GAGCUUUCACCACUGCUGCUGUGUUUUUAUGAGUUUGGAAAAGUUAAGUUCGGUGUAGGCAUUCGUUUCUAUAUUGCUAUGUGAAAUCAAUGCGCCGGGGCAGAAGUACGCAGAAUACUGUGGAGUCAUCCUACAGUGUCAUAUGGUUCUUCUCCUUCCAUUGCCAGACAGGAGCGUCAGGCGCAAUGGAGGCAACAGAAGGACUCAAAUGGCUACCAGAUGUGCUUCCAAUCGGCUCCGGUUGCUAUGGAAACACUGGGACUGGAAUAGGUUUUCUGGGUCCUGCAGCAGAGCGUUUUUUUGGCUGACUCAUGCGGGCCCCGGUUUUUAAAGUGCCGCUGUUUCUAUAGGCUUGGCGCGCUCCAUGUCAUGUUUGGACUGGCAGACGACAUGUCACUGAGCCCCCCACCCGGUUCCCACACGCCUAUAACCGAGACUUUUUGACCACACUGUGCCUUGCAGCGUAUAGUCGCUCCUUUGUGUUCUUGCGGGCUUGCACAGCCAAAACAAUUACCGAGUGCCAAGUGUUAAAAAAAGUGACAGACAAGAUUGGUCUGGAGAUAAUAGAAUUCAGAAGAGGGCCAGACAGAGGAAAGACUCAGUUGAAAAUGUACUAUACGUAUAUAUAUUUCACCAUGACAGGAAUUUUCCUGAUUGGAUGAAAGCAAAAGUGUUUUAAUUCUCUCGCAUGUCAUGUUCUACCAUGUGCAACAAUUCAUUCAAGCUUGCCACAGAUUGCUUUGAAGCUGCAAGGGGACGUUUACUCAAGUCUCUUUUUAACUGUACUGGGGGUUUGGCUACUAGAUUACAUCGCAACUGCUUUUUGGAGCCUGAAACCACAAACAUUUGAAGACAGGUCUGAAAGGGGGUGUAUUUGGAAGCAAAACCUUUAUCGUUAAGACGUAUAAACAAUGAAAAUCAUUGUUUAUGGAAAUGGAGAGCUGUUGUUGUAUUGCUUAUGAUACGGCACACAUUUAUGCCGAUAAGGGUAUUUAGAGGACAUUUUGGGUAAGGUAUGUGGUUCUUUACAAGGUGAGAUCGCCCACUACUGGCCUGGCAUGUAUAUUACAUUAUUUACAUUAUUUCAUGUAAUUUUUGUUGCUUGGAAUCAACAAGGAUUGUUUUGACAAUGUUGUCAUUUGUAUGUGAAACUUGUGUCCGUGUCCAGGGGCGGGCUGGCCAUCGGGAGUAGCACAAGUUUUCCCACUGGGCCGUUCAGUAACAGGCUGAUUGACAGCUGUUUGUUUAUUUAUUUUUUGCUGCGCCGUGCCGUGGUAACUACUGUAACUAACUCUCCCUGGCCGGCCCCGGAACACAACACAACAGCGGGGGUGAGCAGUUGGCGCAGUCAGGGAUGUUGCCCAAGGCGCCGCAUGCUCGGCACAUGCGCAAAGGAUGCAUGCCGUGACACGCGCAUGGAGCAUCAAGUCAACCCGAGGCUAGAGAAUAAAAUAGCAAAUUUCACCUGCUCUCCUGUAAGUGUAAUGGAAGUUACUACUCCCUUUCAAGCAGAGGAUGUGGCUUUGAUUCCAGCCCUGGACAGUUUUUGUUCAAACGAGAGGAGGCUCAUGUGCGUGCCAUCAAAGGGCUGUGAAACACCGUCUUUCUCACAAAAUAUCCGCCUUUGCCAUUAACACAGAGGCUGAUAAAGUACAUAUUAAAUAUUGUAUUGACCCUGACAUAAGACAGAUUUAAAAAAAGAUAGGUGAUUUGCAGAUUUCUAUAUGCAAACCAACAGGUGGCGAGUCAGAUCUUUUCUUCCUGUCACUCACAAACACACCAGUGACCUGUAAAGAUGCUUUCGUGCCACAAGAGACCUGCUGGUAAAAAAGUGUCUCAAAGGUUGUUAGCAAGUUGUAAAGCAUAUAUUAUAAGACAUAAAGUACCUCCGAAGGCGUAAUAUUGUCGAAAUAACUGCCCAUUUCUUUCCUAUUCCCUUA
Dunckerocampus dactyliophorus (ringed pipefish) is the source of this 1940-nucleotide long non-coding RNA. RefSeq lists it as uncharacterized. The transcript has 3 exons. Lineage: Eukaryota; Metazoa; Chordata; Actinopteri; Syngnathiformes; Syngnathidae. The record is from RefSeq and is a predicted model, not a curated record.